Molecule: unclassified non-coding RNA, 272 nt
Filed under: uncultured fungus
Lineage: Eukaryota; Fungi
Description: sequence contains ITS2
Source: RNAcentral
AACGCAUAUUGCACCUCUCCGGAGGUAUGCCUGUUUGAGAAUCUAUAGUAUCUUUUCCCCAGUUUUGGGGGAGAUUUGGGGCGUCUCUUUUGGGUGCCCUUAAAGCUAUAGCUUGACACUGGACGAGUGCGAGAGCGUAUGUAUUUGAAACUCUUUGAGUGCCCUAUACGAAACUCUGGCGCGAGCUCGGACUGGGCCAAGUUCACCACGGAGGUUUGAAAAAGAACCCGAACCAUGGUCUCAAAUCAGGUAGGAGGACCCGCUGAACUUAA